GACGAACGCUGGCGGCGUGCCUAAUACAUGCAAGUAGAACGCUGAAGCGAUGAGCUUGCUCUUCUUGGCUGAGUUGCGAACGGGUGAGUAACGCGUAGGUAACCUGCCUUGUAGCAGGGGAUCACUAUUGGAAACGUUAGCUAAUACCGCAUAACAAUGUAUGACACAAGUCUUUUAUUUGCAUGGGGCAAUUGCACCACUACACUAUGGACCUGCGUUGUAUUAGGUAGUAGGUGAGGUAAUUGCUCACCUAGGCGACGAUACAUAGACGGCCUGAGAGGGUGGUCCGGCCACAUGGGGACGGAGCCACGCCCCGAAUCCCUAGGGGGGCAGGAAGAGGGAAUCCUCGGAAAAGGGGGCAAAGCUGAACGGGGAAAGCCGCGGGAGUGAAGAAGGUUUUCGGAUCGUAAAGCUCUGUUGUAAGGCAAGAACGGGGGUGAGGGUGGAAAGUUCACACUGUGACGGUAGCUAACCAGAAAGGGACGGCUAACUACGUG
RNAcentral lists this ribosomal RNA (497 nucleotides) under uncultured bacterium. RNAcentral's name for it is "partial 16S ribosomal RNA". It matches the Rfam family "Bacterial small subunit ribosomal RNA", at positions 28 to 507 of the family's 1533-position model. The record is from RNAcentral.